AUGAGUGCAGAACUUCGUCUCUGGAGAUCCAUGUCGAAACAAACAUUCAAUCGUCUCUUGCAGAAUGACAAGGCCGGGGAAGAAUACCUUCAGAUGAGGCUGACAACGGAAGGGAGGAAACUUGUGCAGAUCUCGAACCAGCAGGUAACGGAGAUAAAGCUUUUGGAACGUCCACUCAUCUCUGCAUUGAUGAGAGAUUCAGGAUUGCGUCUGAGGGCAUCUCCAACGCUAGGCGCUAAGAGAGGGCGCCAGGAAAAUGGUCCUAGUCGAUUGGCAGUUACGGCAUCGAUUCCUUGCAUCGGGCGCCGCAGCGACGCAAAACAAGGCAUCAAGCGCUAG
Molecule: ribosomal RNA, 339 nt
Filed under: Triticum aestivum (bread wheat)
Lineage: Eukaryota; Viridiplantae; Streptophyta; Magnoliopsida; Poales; Poaceae
Description: partial small subunit ribosomal RNA
Source: RNAcentral